ACUCAAAUGAAUUGACGGGGGCCCGCACAAGCGGUGGAGUAUGUGGUUUAAUUCGAAGCAACGCGCAGAACCUUACCUACCCUUAACAUCCCGGGAAGUUUGCAGAGAUGUAAAUGUCACUUCGGUGACUCGGAGAUAGGUGCUGCAUGGCUGUCGUCAGCUCGUGUCGUAAGAUGUCUGGUUAAGUCCAAUAACGAGCGCAACCCUUGUCCUUAGUUACCAUCAUUAAGUUGGGGACUCUAGGGAGACUGCCGGUGUUAAACCGGAGGAAGGCGGGGAUGACGUCAAGUCCUCAUGGCCCUUACGGGUAGGGCUACACACGUACUACAAUGGCAGAAACAAACUGUUGCGAAACCGCGAGGUGGAGCUAAUCGGUAAAACACUGUCUCAGUCCGGAUUGAAGUCUGCAACUCGACUUCAUGAAGUUGGAAUCGCUAGUAAUCGCUGAUCAGCAAGCAGCGGUGAAUACGUUCCCGGGCCUUGUACACACCGCCCGU
This 497-nucleotide ribosomal RNA is filed under the name uncultured bacterium. Its description in RNAcentral is "partial 16S ribosomal RNA". It matches the Rfam family "Bacterial small subunit ribosomal RNA", at positions 899 to 1397 of the family's 1533-position model. The record is from RNAcentral.